This 10391-nucleotide long non-coding RNA is filed under the name Coffea arabica (coffee). RNAcentral's name for it is "long non-coding RNA (CARA_LNC000717)". Lineage: Eukaryota; Viridiplantae; Streptophyta; Magnoliopsida; Gentianales; Rubiaceae. The record is from RNAcentral.
UUUUUUUUUUUUUUUUGUCAGCAACGAUACAUGUGUAUAAUCUACUCUAUCCUAAUCUAGGGGGAGGGGGAGCCUAAGGGGGCUGUUGUAGGAGCUAGUGGGUAUACAGACUCAACUAGACCAAGGAAGUGCUAUGGCACAACCCUUAGAUUUUUUUCGCUGCUGGUGAGGGUUCACACAGCCCAAGGAGGGACUUAAUCCCUCCCAGGUGGCCACUGAGCCAUUGGCCCAGUGGUUAAUUGGAUCAGAAUAGAAUGAACUGAAGAGGCGCUUGAUCUAGAGAAAGCUCCAAGGCUAGUAAUAUUGAUCAUGCAUCACAAAUACGUGAUUAAAGAUCCAUAAAACAUGUUUUUUUAUGUUUCUUUUUCUUUAUUUUUUUAAAAAAAUCUUUCUUGGGAUGGGUUUGGGAACACUGCACGGCUGGAAAUUAUAUUGACUAGAACGAAAGUUUAACACCAAAUAAAUUGAUCAAUCAACACAACAAGCUCCCGGAUACAACACAACAAGCGCAGUGGGAUUAGUCGGGCCCGGAAUAUUACUCUGUUGAAUUCCGAAUAAUCAUCAGAUACUCACUGUGUCCGAAAAAAAAACACACACACACACACACACACACACACAACAAGCUCAAUUAAUGUAAUUGAGAAUAUUAAAGAAUGCAUGAUUAACAAGUAUUUAAUGGACUCUCGUUAAGAGGAGUUUCAAAUAUUAAUUUUUUUAAAAAAAUGUAAUUAAUUUAGAGAGUGUCACAAUUUAAAAGGUGCAAUAAUUGUGAGUGUCUGUAUUUAUAUAAUAAUAAUUUAAGUGUUUUAACAGGUUCCCGUUAAGUCACGUUUGAAAAAUCUAAUAAAAAUAAUAUGCAAAUCAACUUUGCCGGAUGCUGGCUGACCAGCUGUUUGCCUUCACACUUACCCUUCAACGGCGAAACGUACUAUUCUGCCACUUUUACAAUAGUUAGGACAAUAGUUAGUAGUAUGUAUAUAUAUUCAUCGGAGAAACCAACUUAAUGUGGGAUGCAAGUAUAGCUCAUAUUCACCUUUCUGCAACCUUCCCUCAGACCAUAUACCCGACAAUCCAUCAAAGCCCAUAAAGAGAAAGAGAUCAUCAUCAUGGUUUCGUCUCGGAAUCCGAGUUCCAUAGCAUCAGAAAGAGAAGUUGCUGAUAAUCUUCAACCGACUGGAAAUGAUCAAAAGCAGGAGCUUGAUGCUGGAGCCCUCUUUGUCCUCAAAUCUAAAGGUAAGUUGUUCUCUUGCUUGCCACCCUUAUCAGAAAUUUUUUUUUUUUUUGGUAAAUAUCAGAAUUUUUCAUUUGUUCCUCUUUUCUUGCUUUCCUUUCUUUAUUUGUUCUUUUCUUCUUGCCCAUUUCAUUAAAGUCCAUCAACGCAUAUUCACCUUUGACUAAACGCCGUCGAUGAAAUAGACAUGCACGAUUGAUGAUUAUCAUAAUAAAUCUUUAAAUUUCAAGAAAGAGGUGCUUUUUGGCAGUAAAUUUUUUUGUUUUUUUUGCACUUUUAGAACUAUCUGUGCUUCUUUAAGAUAGGAGAUGGUGUUGCUAUGAGCUCUUUUCUGCAUUAAUAAUGCAGUAAUUCCCACAUACAAAUACAAUGGAUCAAUACUUUAACAAGUAUCCACUUUGUCUUUUUGCUAAAAUUGUACAAAAAUGGAGAAAAAUAUUCCACAUACCCUAAACUCUCAUGGUGCCCCUUAUCUAGUUAUAGCUCAGGUCCACGAUAACAACUUUUAUGAAUAUAUGGCCUAAUAUCGCAGUAUUCUUUUUCCAUAGAAAAAAUGGUCUUCGAGUCGAUCUUCCCAACUUAUUACAAGCAAGUUUGUCAAUUUGGAUCAUGAAGUGAAUGCAUUAGCUGUUGAGUUUCCAAGCUUCCAUUUUCUUGAAAUAAUUGCUUGUGUAUCAUUAUUGGGAUUUUGACAAUAAGCUGAUUUUUUUCACAUGAAAACUUCUUCUUGGCUGUGUACCAAAUAUUAGGCUUGAAAAUUAGUAGUAGUAUACUAGAAGGAAUGGGAAGAAAGAACCGGACAGGAGAAGUGUGAGAACGGAAAUUGAGAUGAGACAUGUUUGUUUUGCAUUAAUUCGUGGCUGGUUUCGAGAUUCUAUCAGCAAUUUUAAAAGAACCAAAAUUUUCUAUGACCAAGAAAUGCACAUGUCUUCGGGUAUGGUCAACUUGGUAAGCAAAUAAAUUAUAUAUAGUUUCUUUUCUUUUGCAUAUCCAACAAAUAUAAUGUUCCUUGAAUAUAAUUUCUCAUUACCAAUACAAAGGUACAUUGAGGAUUAAUUCAUUAUUUUAUAAUUAGCUCACUACUUUUCUUUUUUUUUUAAAAAAAAAAAAAUUCAACUUCCAAACUAGACCAAAACUAAUAUAUAUAUAUUCCACAGAAGACAUAUGUGUUAUUUUUCAUCUUUUCAUUUUUAUUCUCCUAUAAUCAAUCUGUAAACUCUUUCUAAAUCCAAAAGUAUACCUACCUGAAUAAGGUUGCUGAAUUCAGUGGAAGGUGACAUAUGUGUUAUUGACUCUUGUCUUGUAUAUGGUGGCUAAAGAUAAGAAUACUAGUAGUGUGAUUCUCAGUUUUUUUUUUUUUUUUUGGUUGGGUGGGGAGCAGGAUCGUGGAUGCAUUGUGGAUAUCACUUGACAACUUCCAUAGUUGCACCUCCACUUCUGAGUCUGCCAUUUGCCUUUGCUUCACUUGGAUGGGCCGCCGGAGUGAUUAGUCUUGUCAUCGGAGCUGCUGUCACAUUCUACUCCUACAAUUUGAUAUCUCUAGUGCUCGAACACCAUGCUCAACUGGGUCACCGGCAACUCAGAUUCCGGGACAUGGCUACUGAUAUUUUAGGUAAAUUCUCCCCAAACCCCCUCCCCCAACCCCCACAAAAAUCUCGGAAAAAAAAAAUUAAUAGAAUUAAUUUUUUAUGCAUUGUCAAUAUAAGAAUUUUAUUAACUCUGCACAAAUGUAUAUAAAAAUUUUUUGAAAAGUUAGUCCUGAUUAAAAAUGAAAAUUCUGAUAUGAACCCAUUUUGCUGACUUUUUGUUUCACGAGGACAUGCAAUCUCGCUCCAUUAUCAGGUAUACAUAUUUAUAAGAAAAAAUUUGACUAGAUCGAGUGUAUAAAAGAAGGCCUCAAUAAUAAGUGAUCCCAAUCCAAUAAUAGUUCGAUGGACGAUGCUAGAGCGUACUUUAGAGUCCAAAACUUUGGUUCAAACUUAGAAUUGCUUCUCUUGGUGACUUCAUGUUAAAGAGUGCCGUAAUGCUCUAUUUGUUCUAGUAUUUGUUUUCGGUUGACCAGACCCCUAAGCGGUGGUAUUGGUGUUGAGAGUUGAAACUGCCAUUUGGCCUUUUCGACUCUUAUCAAUAUUUUUGAUCGGUGGCCAUUAUAAAAAUUCAAAGAAUACCUAUUUCUUAAUAGUCAAAAGAAAACGCCAGCCAUCAAACCACGACCCAACUGACUCACGAUACAGGAUUUCUGAAGCUGAGAAUUCUGCAUCGACAAUUUCUGUAGCUAGUAAGGAAAAUACUAACCCUGCCUCUAUAAAGCUGUCGCGAGUCUUUUUCAAGUUUAUUUCAACCUAAGUUUUUUUUUUUAAAAAAAAUUCUAAAUAAAUUUAUCUGUUCUAUUAGGAUCACCAUUCUUGUCUUGUCUUGUAAAUGAAAAUUGUACUGGUUUAAUUAGUUUUCGUUCAUCAUAGUAGAGAAGAAAAAUAGAACCGCUAAUAAAUUUAUUUUACUUCUAAUUCAAUUUAGGAAAACCUCUUUUAUGUUGAAAAUAAAGAGGAAAACCUCUUUUUGAUUUUACAUGAGAGUUUGAGCGCUACGUUCUGCGGGCGUUCCAUUUGGACUGCAACAGUAUCAGAAUCCUUUUGAUCCCUUUAUCAUUGCCAAAGUCCCACACGUAAGCCCUUCAGCUGUUAUUGUCUAUGUUGGUCUCAUUCAUAGAUGUCAAAGUUUUCUUUAUCCAAGACAAAAUAGAUGUCACAAUUUUGGUAAGAAAUCUUGUGAUUUUUAUUGCGAUAUUAAUAAGGAUUUUGUAUAUGUGACGUGCAUUUGAACACGUUAAAAUAUAAAUCAUUAGUGUAUAAAAGAUUAUUCCAUUAACGAUGUUUUUCUUUUUCUUUUUUUUUUUGUGAUUGGAUUAGUUCUUGGUCAAAACUGAAAAGAUAGGUACUUAACUGCAUGUGGACACUCAAGAAUAUUCUAGGAUGAUUGCACAAGUGAAUUUCAUUUAGAAUUGAUGAUAUUUUCUUUUUCACAUUAUGUUGUUAUACUAGAUAUUUAACUUCAAAUGCAAUCGUCUCGUAUUUUUCUUCUUACAAGUUACAAAUUCAACUUUCAAUACGUACAAGUAGGAAAGACCUUCCUACAUUUUUUGAGUAUAUGUCAAAAAAGAUUAUCAAGAAAGAAAGACUGGACACAUCGGCCAAAUGACAAGGAAGUUCCUACCGACCUCUUAAAUUCUAGAAUAAUUGCAGAUUUUCCUUUCUCGUUCCAUGGAUUAGUACCUAUUCUGCAUGACAUUGGCUUAUUCAUAAUCCAACCGAAUUCUGGCCUUACAAAUCCAAUUUUGGCAGGACCAAAAUGGGGAAAAUUUUAUGUAGGUCCAGUCCAGUUCUUGGUGUGCUAUGGUGCAGUUGUAGCCUCUACUCUUCUGGGAGGGCAGUGCUUGAAGGUCUGUUUCGUUUUAACAAUAUGUUUCUAACACCACUUUCCUUCAGCCCAAGAAAUUUUGAGCAACUGAGCAUGAAAAUGAUGGACGGGGCAUACCAUAAGAAAGAUAAUGAUAACAAUAAACCAUACGUUGAUGAAGAAGAAUACAGAUUUACUCAACCUGUCGACUCCUUUUGCAGGCAAUCUACGUGUUGGUAAAUCCAAAUGGAGAUAUGAAGCUCUAUGAAUUUGUGAUCAUAUUUGGAGGGCUAAUGCUGAUUUUAGCUCAGAUGCCAUCUUUUCAUUCGCUUAGGCAUAUCAAUCUGGUCUCUUUAGUACUCUGUCUGGCCUACAGCGCCUGUGCCACUGCAGGCUCUAUUUACCUUGGUAAGUACUAUUAAGUAAUGUCGGUACUGCUAAUUGAAACAGCCUUUAUUUGAUAGAAAGAUGGUAUAUAAACUUUGGCUGCAUAAUUUUUUCUCAGGAAAUUCAUCUAAGGGACCAAACAAGAACUACUCCUUGAGUGGUGGUACUGAAACUAAAGUUUUUGGCAUCUUCAAUUCGCUGGCCAUUAUUGCCACCACUUAUGGAAAUGGGAUCAUUCCAGAAAUUCAGGUCCCUUUUCAUUCCACUCAAACUUUGACCAAACAAAUAAAGAUUAAGAUAGAUGGCUAUAUGACUUUUUUUUGCAGGAUUAAAAGGUUUUCAAGGUAUCCAUGCAAAUGUACAAACUUAUUGUAUCAAUCCUAAUGGAACAUUUCUGAUCAUUUAUUUACAGGCGACAUUAGCACCUCCAGUAAAAGGCAAGAUGUUCAAGGGACUCUCUGUUUGUUACAGCGUAGUCACACUGACCUUCUUUACCGUAGGCAUUUCUGGCUAUUGGGCCUUUGGCAAUGAAGCUGAAAGUCUAAUCCUAAGCAACUUCUCAGAUAAUGGAAAAGCUUUGCUGCCCAAGUGGUUCAUUUUUAUGACCAAUACUUUCACCAUUCUCCAACUAUCAGCUGUUGCUGUGGUAAAGACCAAACACUAUUUAACUUUUAGCACAUUCUCUCUGAGUAAUCAAAACCCAAAUAUAUGAGCAGCCAACCCCAAAAAAAAAAAAAAGAAACAAGAUCGUAAAAAUUUUGGAAUGUAAUGUUUAUUGUUCAUUACAUAUAAAUUUUCUCCUUAUACCGUUUAGCUGUCUAUAUUAGUCAGGAAUUUAGGAUUUAGAGAUGAUACUUUGUCUCACUUUUUGAAGCUUUUGACAAAUUGAAAUCAUAAAUUCUUUCAGUGACAUGAGUUUUUCCUACAAGUUAAAGUGGAGCUUAGGGCACUCUUUCUUACAAGUGUUCUGCAUCAAAUUGGCAUAAUAACAACAUAGCAAAUUAUGACUUCUGCCACAGGUGUACUUGCAGCCUACAAAUGAAGUUCUUGAAAGUACGUUUGCAGACCCUAAGAGCAGUGAAUUCUCUGUUCGAAAUAUUGUUCCAAGGGUAAUAUUGCGGUCCAUAUCAGUUGUUAUAUCAACUACAAUUGCAGCUAUGCUUCCAUUUUUUGGAGACGUUAAUGCUUUGCUUGGAGCUUUUGGUUUCAUGCCACUCGAUUUUGUCCUUCCUGUUGUCUUCUUCAACUUGACAUUCAAGCCAUCAAAGAGAAGCCCCAUUUUUUGGUUAAAUGUCACUAUAGCCGUGGUUUUCGGUACUUUGGGGGUCAUAGGAGCAGUGGCUGCAGUGAGACAAAUUAGUCUUGAUGCUAAAAAUUACAGGUUAUUUGCCAAUGUAUGAUUAGAUAACCAUGGCUAGAAGCAAAUUAUACAGCGAUCUUAUUUUGAUGUACCAAAAGCUUUCACCUGUCACUGUCAAAUAUCUAUUAGCUAUAGCACAUUUUUUAUCAUUUUUUCGACAAAUAAAGUACAAUUGCUUGUAUCCGAUGAGAUAUUCAGGCAAAACUGACCUAUUUGAUUAGUGAAUUCAUGGUUGCCACCAUGGCUAGCAGCAAAUUAUACAGCGUUCUUAUUUUGAUAUACCAAAAGCAUUCACCUGUAACGUAUGUAUUAGCUAUAGCACUCUUUUUUGUUUUUUUUUUGGUUGACAUAGAAAGUACAGCAACUUGUAUCUGAUAAGAUAUUUAAACAAAACUGAUCGAUUUGAUUAGUAAAUUCAAAGUUGCCAGCCUUAAUCAAUUAGCCAUUUAAUGAAAUGAUCUCACGUUUCACCAGAAUCUACCACUCUUUCUUGGUUCAACAUAAAAAGAGUAACCCUCUGUUCAGUGUCUACAGCUCCUAGAGCUAGCUAACAAAAAGUGCUAUUCAACACCUACAAAAUCCCUCAAAAAACUAUGGACCGCUCCAUCAAUCAGCCAAAUGAAGGCAAGGAUCUUGAAAUUAUUAAAUUACUUGGGCUGUUGCUUCUUUACUCAGAAGAAAAGUUCAAACAAUGAGAAACUAUAGAUGGUAACACGUCAUUCAACUUCAUCCAAAUGUCCGAAGAGUUCUUGCCAAUGAAUUGCAGCUUCUUCAGGUGACCGAAGGGACCAUAUAUGAUUGUUGGCCUGCUCACGUUUCUCGAGGAUUUCCUGCAUUUAGAAGACUAAAUUGGUAAUCGGUUGAAAAGCAUAAAACAGAAGCACUAUGGAAUAUAAUCCGACUUUUCAUACUCCUUCCAAAAAGAAAAGUCAUCUAAGAAUAAUCUGAAGGUCAUGAAGUAAUAAGAGGGAAACAAUAGCAGGAUCAAAUCCCAAGUACAAGCAUUAAUGACAACAGUGUCUGGCGAAUUGUUUUCCAGAUGUUCCUCUGAACAUGAUGACAGCUGAUUUAAUAAAUAAGCAGAAAAAGAAUCCACCAUUUUCCAGAGUGGUCAUGUGCAUUGAUAAAUUUAUAGUUUUUGCUUCUAGGCACCAACUUCAGAAGCAAUGCCACACCAUGUUAUUUGAACACAGCACUUAUUGAAUAUGCUUUUGAUUUUUUUUUUAGCCAAAAUUAACCACCAAUGGAUUGUAGUUAAAAUACCACAAAGAUGGCUAAGGAGAAACGGAAUGCUAAGACGCUGGCUUUUACGUAUCACAACUUACUGUACUGUCACACCCAGUUAGAGAAACUACACUUGCAUAUCAGUCAGGAACUAUUAACUUCUUAGCUGGUAAAAGAUCCAAAAAUGCAAUAAGGCAAUGACAAUUUGGAAACAGUAGGGAAAACAAGCAUCCCUCAAUGCACCUAUAUGGCAUAAAUCUUCAACAAAUGCUCUCAGUAUUGAAACAACAUGCCAUGGUACCGAUCUUAAACUAGUCCAGUGAAGCACAACUUUUGGAUUUAUUGUCUCAUGCACAUUGCAGCAAAUAAACAAAGCAAAAUGACCGAGUUGGCUGUUAUUUUCUGUAGGGGCAAUCCAAAUCUUUUUAAGAUUUAUUUCAAGAAAUAGCAAAUCAUCAUUUAAUUUCUGUGCAGUACCAAACAGUAAUUAAUAGGUCAAAGAAUAAUCCGACAAACCCCACAAUUAAUAAAAUGUUUUUACCUUAAACUUACUGCAACCUUUAUUUAGGAACUCAGACUUCCUAUUUAAAAAGUGGCAAUCCAAAUGUAGUCAAGAAGAAAUUUAAGGACGAAAUAGAGUUGAUUCCUCUUUUAGCUACAUAUGAUGCUCAGAAGUACUUGGAAACUUAACUUUCUCAUGGUCUUGAUUGUUUGUCCCAUAAAAUUAAAAACCGGUAGGUCCAAAAUACGGUAGUUGAUUAUCAUUCCAAGCAUAAUCAUGGGGAUCAAAAUUGCACCAAUUAUUUUCUCUGAUAAUAGUAUUUUAACUGUCCAAGUUACUUUCUCAACACUAAAUGCUGGGGUUUUUUGGAUACGAAAUCUAUCACCUAGAUAUGAACAUUUAAGCACUGGAUAUGUUUAGUAUUUGCUUGGGGCUAACCAGGGAUCUAGUUCCCCUACUUAAUGGGGGAAAUUACACGAACUCUGAGAAUAACACGUAGUUGUCUUUUACUGUUCUUACUGCAGUUUGUUAUGUUCUGUAGCACAACUACUCUCAGUUCUAGCCAAAACCUUCAGAAUCCAAAUGUCAUGUUCAAAGUAUUGUCUAAUUAGUUCAUAGUUAAAACAAUACAACAGCCUAGUUCAAACAAAAAACCAGGAACCCGCAUCUGCUUUAAGGGUAUAUUACCCUCUAAUGACGUAGAAAGGAAGUUUAGAAGCCAAAUCAAGCUUGACAUGAGGAAAACAUUUGAUAAAUAGAAGAAAAUAAUCAGCUUUGUCCCUGGCCAUUUAAAUUAGAACAGCCUAUGCCUAUGCCUUUCAAGAUGCUGUUAAUCAAUGCAUUUUCAGUUUUACAUCAAGCUAUGACAAUGGCCUUUCACCAAUUGAGGAAGAGGGUCCUUGUGAUUUGCACAAUAAAAAUAAAUUAUACAGACCUCCAGCUCAGAAGGUCUCUUGGUUUUGAGGUUUAGACAAUCAAAUAGAGCAUUCCACUUUGCGGAACAAUUAUCCAGCCAACCCAUCCGAUAGUAUUGCUGCAUCUGAUGUACAGGUGCUGCAAAUCACAAUUUUUUACCACUCAGUCCAACGAGUCAACCACCCAAAAUAAAUAGAAAUAGAAAUAGAAAUAAAACUGCUGUUCAGAUUGUCGAGUUGAAUACAACGAGAAGCAAGAAAGAAUUGUAGAAAGACAUCUCUAUAUCUGAAAGGCAUGAUGAUGAUAAACCUUUACGUAAAAUCAGACAGAUAAUUUUAGAAUCUGGAAUAUUUCUGGGCUACAAUAGAAUUUAAUUGAUACUGUAAAUACCAAUUAAUGCUCUCAAGAAUUUAGGUCCACGGAAACAUAUAAUCAGCAAACUAUAAAUUACCAACUUUAAUUCUGUGAAAUGAGGAUGAAAAGUCAAUGAUAAAGUGAGUAGGGCAAAGAGAGAGAAGGGAGAGCGGGUGUACAAUAGCAAAACCAGAGCGCAUCGAAGUAGGUGGAGCACGACAACUUCCGGCGCGGUGCUGUGGCGUCGGCUACCUCCGAGCUCAUCUUCACCUUAAUUAGUGGAGUACUACUCUGAAACUGCCCUUCCACCUAUGAGCAUGUGUAUUAUGUACUAUUACGCAGGCAGUGGAUUCCUCUUUCUUUUUCUUUUUCUUUUUUUUAGGCGAAAAAUACACGUUAACUUCACAUUCUUCCGUCUCUCGAUUUACCAUAUAAACUGUUGAUGACAAAUCUCUCAAAAUAAUGUUGAAAAAAAUAUAUCGCAAAAACGGCGACGGGCUAAUUUGUUAAAUAGCAUCUAAUCUCAAGAGUGAAAUAAAUGGGCACACUUAUAUAGGACUAAAUAAGUAUUAGUAUAUGUUAAGCUAAAUCCAACUACAAAGUGGAACAUAAUUUAAAUCCAACUUCUUCAAGAUUUCGAGCUAAAAAGUGGACUAAAUAAGUACCAAGAAGCUAAAUCCAACUAAAAAGUGGAAAAAAAAAAUCUUUGUUCUAUCUUAAUUUUGAACACAACUUCUUCAAGAUUUCGAUAUAGCCUUCCAUGUAAGGUUACAAAUCAACAUUUUUCUACAAAAAUCAGGUGGAGAUGGUAAAUCGGACGUAAUUUCCAUAAAGAUGAAGUUGGUUUUACUAAGAGUUAUAAUCAUUUUACAAGUUUGGCCAAAUUUUGAAUUUUGCCAAUAACACAAGAUACAACACCGAUGCAGCUACAACAAUCAUCAGCUUCUGAGUCCUGACCACUGACCACUGACCAGUGUCUCCAAUAUGGGCCCUUAGUAGAAAAUUCCUAAAUCCCGCAUAAU